This 644-nucleotide long non-coding RNA is filed under the name Vulpes vulpes (red fox). RNAcentral's name for it is "lncRNA (ENSVVUG00000012546.1)". The record is from RNAcentral. Lineage: Eukaryota; Metazoa; Chordata; Mammalia; Carnivora; Canidae.
CCCAGAACUCCUUCUAUCACCACUUCAAGCUCCAACAGGCAGAAAAAAAUAGCAUUGAAAGUUUGGUGUAUCCUCCUCAUUCUCCUCUUCUUCCAAACUAUUCCACAGCAACCGUGGCUACCGAAUCAUUGUACGGAGACCUGCUCAUGUUGAGGCAGAAGGUCCUGGCAGCCUCUGGUCAAAUGCUCUGAAGGAACUUGCGGAAAUGCGACGUGCAGAAACCAGAUCAAGCACAUUUGGAACUACACGUACAGAAUAAGAAAUCUGAAAACCAGCCGUAUCUGCUCACUGGUUUAUCUCUCCACGCUGAUUCACUAGAGACGUGAGGCGCUGGGUGCUUCUCAAACACCUCCACAUUCCAGUCUCUUCAGAAUGCAGCUGUAAGUGAUGCAGUGAGGCACUGAAUACCAUACCGCAGAGUUGGCAGCCGGAAUGCAGAUUUGCAUUAGUGACAAAGUUGUGCCAAGUCCCUCUUGGGUCCCUGGAUAUCCCGAGGCCAAUUUCAGGCGGGAAGUUCAGUUGGAAACAACCAGGAUUCUCACUCAUUUUGAAAGGUCUUCUCAUCCUGGGCCUUAGCUCCCUGCCAGAUACAAAUGGUAAGAGGGAAGAGAUUUGCUCACUUCAACUCUCACGAUAUAUUCGGU